GGAUGUGAGGGCGAUCUGGUGGUGACAUCUGUCACCCCAUUGAUCAGCAGGGGUUGAUUCGCUGAUCUGGCUGGCUAGGGGGGUGUUCCCUUCCUCCCUCAGUGAUCCAUGUGCGUCCCUCCCAAAGUUGCACGCUGGGUUGAAGAGGACUACCACCCUCGAUAGAGGAGGACCGUUCCUCGGUCAAGGUUAUACAAGUAGCUGUGCUCCUCUGCUAGAACCUCCAAACAAGCUCUCAAAGGUGGGUGAGAAGAGCUGGUUACCCUG
Molecule: small nuclear RNA, 267 nt
Filed under: Octodon degus (degu)
Lineage: Eukaryota; Metazoa; Chordata; Mammalia; Rodentia; Octodontidae
Description: 7SK RNA (ENSODEG00000024388.1)
Rfam family: 7SK RNA
About the family: 7SK was discovered as an abundant small nuclear RNA in the mid-70s but a possible function has only recently been suggested. Two independent studies have found that 7SK RNA binds the CDK9/cyclin T complex (known as elongation factor P-TEFb). P-TEFb activates transcription by phosphorylating the C-terminal domain of RNA polymerase II.
Source: RNAcentral